Molecule: ribosomal RNA, 497 nt
Filed under: uncultured bacterium
Lineage: Bacteria
Description: partial 16S ribosomal RNA
Rfam family: Bacterial small subunit ribosomal RNA
Source: RNAcentral
GAUGAACGCUGGCGGCGUGCCUAAUACAUGCAAGUCGAGCGAACAGACGAGGAGCUUGCUCCUCUGACGUUAGCGGCGGACGGGUGAGUAACACGUGGAUAACCUACCUAUAAGACUGGGAUAACUUCGGGAAACCGGAGCUAAUACCGGAUAAUAUAUUGAACCGCAUGGUUCAAUAGUGAAAGACGGUUUUGCUGUCACUUAUAGAUGGAUCCGCGCCGCAUUAGCUAGUUGGUAAGGUAACGGCUUACCAAGGCAACGAUGCGUAGCCGACCUGAGAGGGUGAUCGGCCACACUGGAACUGAGACACGGUCCAGACUCCUACGGGAGGCAGCAGUAGGGAAUCUUCCGCAAAGGGCGAAAGCCCGACGGAGCAACGCCGCGUGAGUGAUGAAGGUCUUCGGAUCGUAAAACUCUGUUAUUAGGGAAGAACAAAUGUGUAAGUAACUAUGCACGUCUUGACGGUACCUAAUCAGAAAGCCACGGCUAACUACGUG